CAGUCGAACGAAGAUACUUAAAAUGAGAGCUUCGGCAGGAUUUUUAUUUAUCUUACUGUCGGACGGGUGAGUAACGUGUGGGCAACCUGCCCUAUACUGGGGAAUAAUCACUGGAAACGGUGACUAAUACCGCAUGUCAUUACGGAAGGGCAUCCUUCUGUAAGAAAAGGAGUAAUUCGGUAUAGGAUGGGCCCGCAUCUGAUUAGCUAGUUGGUGAGAUAACAGCCCACCAAGGCGACGAUCAGUAGCCGACCUGAGAGGGUGAUCGGCCACAUUGGGACUGAGACACGGCCCAAACUCCUACGGGAGGCAGCAGUGGGGAAUAUUGCACAAUGGGGGAAACCCUGAUGCAGCAACGCCGCGUGAAGGAAGAAGGUUUUCGGAUCGUAAACUUCUAUCAACAGGGACGAAGAAAGUGACGGUACCUGAAUAAGAAGCCCCGGCUAACUACGUGCCAGCAGCCGCGGUAAUACGUAGGGGGCAAGCGUUAUCCGGAAUUACUGGGUGUAAAGGGAGCGUAGGCGGCACGCCAAGCCAGAUGUGAAAGCCCGAGGCUUAACCUCGCGGAUUGCAUUUGGAACUGGCGAGCUAGAGUACAGGAGAGGAAAGCGGAAUUCCUAGUGUAGCGGUGAAAUGCGUAGAUAUUAGGAAGAACACCAGUGGCGAAGGCGGCUUUCUGAACUGAAACUGACGCUGAGGCUCGAAAGCGUGGGGAGCAAACAGGAUUAGAUACCCUGGUAGUCCACGCCGUANACGAUGAGUGCAAGGUGUCGGGGAGNAAUCCUCGGUGC
RNAcentral lists this ribosomal RNA (791 nucleotides) under uncultured bacterium. RNAcentral's name for it is "bacterial SSU rRNA". It matches the Rfam family "Bacterial small subunit ribosomal RNA", at positions 58 to 846 of the family's 1533-position model. The record is from RNAcentral.